CGAAUUGGAACCCCUCAUUUCAUUUCACAAUUCACAACCCCGGCGUUGUUCCUCCCAUCACAACUCGAUCACCUCCUGAGGCUGGUGGCGAUUGGCACGAUGACAAGCAGGACGAGGAGCAGCAGGAUUAUGAUGCCGAUGCAGAGACACUUGCGGCUGCUUCUCUGGUACUCCUUGGCCUUGCCCAGCUCCUUGUUGCCGCCCUGCACGUAGUGGGAGGCGUUGGCGACGUGGCUCUCGAUGUCGUCGAGCUUCUCCCCCUGCGUCUCCACCAUGACGGCCAUGUCGAGGAACACUUGGUGGAGCUCCAGGAGGCUGCGUUCCACCUCGCGCGCCGCGUCACGGCGGUCCUGGAUCUCGUGCACCGCGGCGAGCACGGCGCCCUUGCCGUGCUCCGCGACAGCGGCGCCCAGGAGCUCCUCGCCGCGGCCGUCGGAGAUGAUGCGCUCGAUCACCUCCUCCUCGGGGACCUCCCCGGUGAGCGUGUAGUAGCGCCGCUCCACGGUCUCCUUGUACUCGGACAUCAUCCGCUGCCGCAGCGCCUGGAAGUCGAGCAUGAGGUCCUUGAGCUUCUUCCGGAGUCCCGAGGUGACGGCGGUGCGCGUGCGGUCCAGCGGCGUGCCCUCGCGGCACCCAGCAGAAAGCCUCCGCUGCGCGGCGUUGGCGCGGUCCAGAGACUCGAGCCUAGCGCGGAUGUCGCGGGCGCGGCGGAGCACGGCGACGAUAUCGGCGUUGACGCGGCCGCGGUGCGCGCGGAGGGCGUCCACCUGGCGCAGCGACUUGCCCUCCUCGUUGGCGGCGUGCAGGCGGUCGAGCGCGUCGCGGAUGGCCGCCAUCUCCGCCUUCACCGCCUCCGCCUCCUGGAAGAACCCGCGCAGGCGCUCGUCCGUGACGCCGCCGGCGCCCGCCUCCGGGAGCUCGAUCCCGUCGCCCGCCGCCUCCAGGUCCUUCAUCGCCGCCUUCUUCAGGUCGACGUAGCUCAUGAAGGACUUGGUCAUGAGGUCGUUCAUAGUGCCGAUCACUGGAUUGCCUUUGCAGCUCUCUCCGUGUAGGGCUACUGGGAUAGAUGUUUGCGGUGGUGGAACGAAUCGGCGGGGAAAAGGAAGAG
This 1108-nucleotide unclassified non-coding RNA is filed under the name Zea mays. RNAcentral describes it as "misc RNA Zm00001eb056420". Lineage: Eukaryota; Viridiplantae; Streptophyta; Magnoliopsida; Poales; Poaceae. The record is from RNAcentral.